Long non-coding RNA from Salmo salar (Atlantic salmon), 609 nucleotides. RefSeq lists it as uncharacterized. The record is from RefSeq and is a predicted model, not a curated record. NCBI's taxonomy places the organism in Eukaryota, Metazoa, Chordata, Actinopteri, Salmoniformes, Salmonidae.
UCCAUUAGGGACAGGCUGGAAUAAUGGAUAGUGUUUUGACUGGGACCAAAGUGCAUAACCAUGCAGAUAGAUUUCACUGCUAUCUUUCAUGAGUGACGUCUAUGUGGGUGUUCGUUUCUAUGUGGACAUUGCACAUCGUUGCACUUCCGAACCGGACGGCCCCCCUCUCCCCGCCUGCAGUAACGUUACAUUCACCGUUGCAACUGCAUGAGGACCAUAUGGAGUGUCUACAAAGCAAUACAAUGAUAUAAGGGGACAAGAGCACGGAUGUGUGACCAUGCAAAGGGAGAGGACGAGGAGGGGGAAUUCAUCAUUGGCCCAGAGAUGGUGCUGCUGUGAAUAAACAGCAUGCAAACAUGAAAAACAUUAACCAAAUUUGGUUAUUGAAUGUCUCGUGUCCGGCAUGAUGAACUUUCCUGUGCUAUAUUUUCUCCCCAACUAUACUGAACAAAAAUAUAAACACAACAUGUAGAGUGUUGGUCCCACUUUUCAUGAGCUGACAUAAAAGAUGACAGAAAUGUUCCAUGUGCACAAAAAGCUUAUUUCUCUCAACUUCUGUGCACAAAUGUGUUACCAUCUCUGUUAGUGAGCAUUUCUCCUUUGCCAAGA